This 301-nucleotide ribosomal RNA is filed under the name uncultured bacterium. Its description in RNAcentral is "partial 16S ribosomal RNA". It matches the Rfam family "Bacterial small subunit ribosomal RNA", at positions 509 to 809 of the family's 1533-position model. The record is from RNAcentral.
CAGUCGCCGCGGGAAUACAGAGGGUGCGAGCGUUAAUCGGAUUUACUGGGCGUAAAGCGUGCGUAGGCGGCUUUUUAAGUCGGAUGUGAAAUCCCUGAGCUUAACUUAGGAAUUGCAUUCGAUACUGGGAAGCUAGAGUAUGGGAGAGGAUGGUAGAAUUUCAGGUGUAGCGGUGAAAUGCGUAGAGAUCUGGAGGAAUACCGAUGGCGAAGGCAGCCAUCUGGCCUAAUACUGACGCUGAGGUACGAAAGCAUGGGGAGCAAACAGGAUUAGAUACCCGCGUAGUCCCUGUCUCUUAUAA